RNAcentral lists this ribosomal RNA (1538 nucleotides) under Acinetobacter refrigeratoris. RNAcentral describes it as "bacterial SSU rRNA". It matches the Rfam family "Bacterial small subunit ribosomal RNA". Lineage: Bacteria; Pseudomonadati; Pseudomonadota; Gammaproteobacteria; Moraxellales; Moraxellaceae. The record is from RNAcentral.
UUUUUUAGACUUUUCUUGUAUUAGAGUGACGGGUCAGAUUGAACGCUGCAUGCAAGUUUAACACAUGCUAGUAAAGCUGGGAUUGGAUACUUGCACGGCGUUCGGAGGGGCGAACGGGGGGUACUGCCCAUGAAUAUGCGUAUAUAGUGGGGGGACAACGUUGCUAAUGGGAGGUUAAUACUAUAUACGUCUUACGGUAGAAAGGAAGGGGAUCUUCGGACCUUCCGCUAAUAGAUGAGCCUAAGUCCGAUAGGUUAUUUGUUGGGGUAAAGCUCAACCAGGGCGAGGAUCUUUAGCGACUUUGAGAGGAUGUUCGCCCCCACUGGAAUGGGGCCACGGCCCGAAUUCUUAGGGGAGGAGCCAGUGGGAAUUUUCGGCCAAGGGGGGAAAUCUUGAUCCAGCCAGCCGGGUGGUGGGAGGAAGGCUUUUGGUUUGUAAAGCACUUUUGUUAGGGGAGGAGGCUUACCUGGUUAAUACCCGGGUACAGUGGACGUACCUAACCGAAAAAGCACGGGUAAAUUCUUUCCCGCCGCCCGCGUUAAUACUAAGGGGCCAGGCUUUUCUGGAAUUUAUUGGGGUUAAGGGGGGGCUGGGUGGUCAAUAAAUUCAAAUGUAAAAUCCCCGGGUUUAACUUGGGAAUUGCAUGGAAAAUGGGUAAGUUGGAGUAUGAGAGAGGAUUCUAAAUUCCAAGGGGAGCGGUUAAAUGGGGUGAGAAUUGGGAGGACACCAGAGGGGAAGGGCGGCCUUUUGUCUGUAUAUGAACAUGAGGGUGGAAAGGCUGGGGGGGCAACCAGGAUUGGUUCCCUUGUUGUUCCAUCCGUUAAAGGGCCAAGGUGUCUAUUAGCUGUUGGAGGCCUUCCACGCCUUUAGUGGCUGCAGCUAACGCGAAUAAGUAGCACCGCCUGGGGAGUACGGUCGCAAGACUGAAACUCAAAUGAAUUGACGGGGGCCCGCACAAGCGGUGGAGCAUGUGGUUUAAUUCGAUGCAACGCGAAGAACCUUACCUGGCCUUGACAUCCUCAGAACUUUCCAGAGAUGGAUUGGUGCCUUCGGGAACUCAGAGACAGGUGCUGCAUGGCUGUCGUCAGCUCGUGUCGUGAGAUGUUGGGUUAAGUCCCGCAACGAGCGCAACCCUUUUCCUUAUUUGCCAGCACUUCGGGUGGGAACUUUAAGGAUACUGCCAGUGACAAACUGGAGGAAGGCGGGGACAACGUCAAGUCAUCAUGGCCCUUACAGCCAGGGCUACACACUUGCUACAAUGGUCGGUACAAAGGGUUGCUACUGCGCGAGCAGAUGCUAAUCUCAAAAAGCCUAUCGUAUUCCGGAUCUCAGUCUGCAACUCCACUGCUUGAACUCGGAAUCCCUAUUAAUCCCGGAUCACAAUGCCGCGGUGAAUACUUUCCCGGGCCUUGUACACACCGCCCGUCACACCAUGGGAGUUUGUUGCACCAAAAUUAGGUAGUCUAACCUUAGGGAGGACGCUUACCACGGUGUGGCCAAUGACUGGGGUGAAGUCGUACAGGGGGAAACCGAAAAAA